Molecule: ribosomal RNA, 487 nt
Filed under: uncultured bacterium
Lineage: Bacteria
Description: bacterial SSU rRNA
Rfam family: Bacterial small subunit ribosomal RNA
Source: RNAcentral
GAUGAACGCUAGCGGCAGGCCUAACACAUGCAAGUCGAGGGGUAGUUACUUUCGGGUAAUGAGACCGGCGCACGGGUGCGUAACGCGUAUGCAAUCUACCUUUUACAGGGGAAUAGCCCAGAGAAAUUUGGAUUAAUGCCCCAUAGUAUGUAUGAAUCGCAUGGUUUAUACAUUAAAGUUCCAACGGUAAAGAUGAGCAUGCGUCCCAUUAGUUAGUUGGUAAGGUAACGGCUUACCAAGACGAUGAUGGGUAGGGGUCCUGAGAGGGAGAUCCCCCACACUGGUACUGAGACACGGACCAGACUCCUACGGGAGGCAGCAGUGAGGAAUAUUGGACAAUGGGCGCAAGCCUGAUCCAGCCAUGCCGCGUGCAGGAAGAAGCAUCUAUGGUGUGUAAACUGCUUUUGUACAGGAAGAAACACUCCCUCGUGAGGGAGCUUGACGGUACUGUAAGAAUAAGGAUCGGCUAACUCCGUGCCAGCAGCCG